This 649-nucleotide unclassified non-coding RNA is filed under the name Pseudomonas aeruginosa. RNAcentral describes it as "partial contains 16S ribosomal RNA, 16S-23S ribosomal RNA intergenic spacer, and 23S ribosomal RNA". The stretch from base 1 to 142 matches the Rfam family "Bacterial small subunit ribosomal RNA", at positions 1392 to 1533 of the family's 1533-position model. The record is from RNAcentral. Lineage: Bacteria; Pseudomonadati; Pseudomonadota; Gammaproteobacteria; Pseudomonadales; Pseudomonadaceae.
GCCCGUCACACCAUGGGAGUGGGUUGUUCCAGAAGUAGUUAGUCUAACCGCAAGGGGGACGGUUACCACGGAGUGAUUCAUGACUGGGGUGAAGUCGUAACAAGGUAGCCGUAGGGGAACCUGCGGCUGGAUCACCUCCUUAAUCGAAGAUCUCAGUUUCUUCAUAAGCUCCCACACGAAUUGCUUGAUUCACUGGUUAGACGAUUGGGUCUGUAGCUCAGUUGGUUAGAGCGCACCCCUGAUAAGGGUGAGGUCGGCAGUUCGAAUCUGCCCAGACCCACCAAUUGUUGGUGUGCUGCGUGAUCCGAUACGGGGCCAUAGCUCAGCUGGGAGAGCGCCUGCUUUGCACGCAGGAGGUCAGGAGUUCGAUCCUCCUUGGCUCCACCAUCCAAACAAUCGUCGAAAGCUCAGAAAUGAAUGUUCGUGAAUGAACAUUGAUUUCUGGUCUUUGCACCAGAACUGUUCUUUAAAAAUUCGGGUAUGUGAUAGAAGUAAGACUGAAUGAUCUCUUUCACUGGUGAUCAUUCAAGUCAAGGUAAAAUUUGCGAGUUCAAGCGCGAAUUUUCGGCGAAUGUCGUCUUCACAGUAUAACCAGAUUGCUUGGGGUUAUAUGGUCAAGUGAAGAAUCGCAUACCGUGGAUGCCUUGGC